This is a long non-coding RNA of Acanthopagrus latus (yellowfin seabream), 1665 nucleotides long. RefSeq lists it as uncharacterized. NCBI's taxonomy places the organism in Eukaryota, Metazoa, Chordata, Actinopteri, Spariformes, Sparidae. The transcript has 3 exons. The record is from RefSeq and is a predicted model, not a curated record.
CGGUGCAUGACGAAACUGGCUCACCAUGAAAGGCAGCACCCAGAGAGAUUUACCGGUGCGCCCCUCAGUCUGCACCAGAGCUGCAUUCUUCAGGAGACAAUGUAUUCACAUUGUCAAAACAAAGAGAAACAGCAAAAAGAUAAAAAUGACACCGUGAAAUCAAAGAUAAGAGCGAGCGAAACACAGAAGUCUGCAUUGUCUGGAGCUGUAUUGGAGUCUUUGAUUAAAAACCCGGGAUGUGUAGGAAACACACAGAUACUACACGGGUGUGAGCUCAGAGCACCAGAGGAGUGUUGUUGUUCACACUGCAAGCACAGGAGCUUUUGUUGCCAGGAGGAGGAGGUUUUUAAUGCCUGCGAUGGAGGGACCUAUCCUGAAAGUGGACGGGGAGUGGGGCCAGACUAGACACCGGAACCAGAGCCGUGCAAGCAGACAGUGGAGCUGGGAUCAGCAGCCUCCCAGUAAACAUGGUUUGACCAGGGCUAAACACAGCCUCCGAAACUGAUGAAGGCCAGUUUGAUGACAUGGAAUACAGGAGGAAUGUGAUUCAUAGGUGCUUUGACCAGGACUCUUGACUCCUGGGAAGACAAAGACAUGGUGAAAUCAGCUGAAGGAUCACAGCAGUGAAUGUACAAUAUAGAAAACUAGAGUUAUACACCCUGAGAUGGCCAGGCUCCUGUAAAUGUAAAACAUCCAUAUGAGAUGAACUACACAUCCUCAAACUCAGGACAUGUUCUGCCAAAUGUUAUGCGUGGAAUAACAUCAAGCUGAGGGAGAACUGGCAGGGAUCAAAGGUAACGUAUAGACUCGCAUGAAGAACGGAUCAAAGACAUUUAGCUUCGAAAGUAAUGACACCAGGGUGAAAGAAUCUAAUUAGUGGAAGGACAUUUCCUUUAUUACCCAAGAUGAAGAAGCGGAUAUAUAUUAUUGAUGGCCCGCAGUUGACAUACAGGGAGGAUAAUGUGAGAGAGAGAGGUGGAGUUAGGUGUCGGGUGAAGCAAAGGGAAUGAAAGCUUUGUGGAUGCAGUAUGUCGAUGCAGAGAGUGAGAAGAGUGUGGAUGAGAUGUGACGUGAAUGACCCCAGGUAGAAAGAUUCAGAGAAGAAGAUGGAUGUAUGGAGGAGGAAAACAGAAAGAAGUUGAGCUGAAAGAUACAUUUUCUUGCCAUUGGGCAGCGGAUGAUGCCAAGUCAUGAGGGAAAUGAGCAAAACCAAACCUUAGGAGGGACAGACAGAGGACCACAGAUAAGACAGAGCGAGAUAAAGAAAGAAAAGCUACAUUGAAGUCAGAGAUACGCAGCCAGCAAGCUUCCUCCUCAGAGCUGACCUCCUUUUACUCUGACUCAGCUGAGAGACAAGCACCACCUGCAGGACUGAAGAAGUACAUCCUGAUUUACACAAGAUACACAUUAUAGUUGAAUAGCAUCUCAAGAACAACACAAGGACAGUUGGACAGAUUUGUAGAGGAACACUUCCUUAAAAUGUUCCAAUAUUUCUCUUGGAUAAGGCAGAGGAAGCAGCUAAACUGUGCUCAUUGUUAUGGGUGUUUUCUCUUUUCACUUCUGAUAUAUUUGCACAAAUACCAACAGUACAAAAAAAUGAAAAUCAAUAAAAUGUGCCUACAGAGGCCAAAAAGCUCAUCUUACAUAAACAACACUGAAAACACA